Molecule: ribosomal RNA, 492 nt
Filed under: uncultured bacterium
Lineage: Bacteria
Description: partial 16S ribosomal RNA
Rfam family: Bacterial small subunit ribosomal RNA
Source: RNAcentral
AUUGAACGCUGGCGGCAUGCUUUACACAUGCAAGUCGAACGGUAACAGGCCUUCGGGUGCUGACGAGUGGCGAACGGGUGAGUAAUGCAUCGGAACGUACCCAGAGGUGGGGGAUAACGCAGCGAAAGCUGUGCUAAUACCGCAUGUGAUCUGAGGAUGAAAGCGGGGGACCGAGCAGCAAUGUUUGGCCUCGCGCCUUUGGAGCGGCCGAUGUCGGAUUAGCUAGUUGGUGGGGUAAAGGCCUACCAAGGCGACGAUCCGUAGCUGGUCUGAGAGGACGACCAGCCACACUGGGACUGAGACACGGCCCAGACUCCUACGGGAGGCAGCAGUGGGUAAUUUUGGACAAUGGGCGCAAGCCUGAUCCAGCAAUGCCGCGUGCGGGAAGAAGGCCUUCGGGUUGUAAACCGCUUUUGGCAGGAACGAAACGGUGUCCGCUAAUACCGGGCGCUAAUGACGGUACCUGCAGAAUAAGCACCGGCUAACUACGUG